GACGAACGCUGGCGGCGUGCUUAACACAUGCAAGUCGAACGGAAAGGCCCUGCUUUUGUGGGGUGCUCGAGUGGCGAACGGGUGAGUAACACGUGAGUAACCUGCCCUUGACUUUGGGAUAACUUCAGGAAACUGGGGCUAAUACCGGAUAGGAGCUCCUGCUGCAUGGUGGGGGUUGGAAAGUUUCGGCGGUUGGGGCUGGACUCGCGGCUUAUCAGCUUGUUGGUGGGGUUGUGGCUUACCAAGGCUUUGACGGGUAGCCGGCCUGAGAGGGUGACCGGCCACAUUGGGACUGAGAUACGGCCCAGACUCCUACGGGAGGCAGCAGUGGGGAAUAUUGCACAAUGGGCGGAAGCCUGAUGCAGCAACGCCGCGUGCGGGAUGACGGCCUUCGGGUUGUAAACCGCUGUCGCCUGUGACGAAGCGUGAGUGACGGUAAUGGGUAAAGAAGCACCGGCUAACUACGUG
Molecule: ribosomal RNA, 468 nt
Filed under: uncultured bacterium
Lineage: Bacteria
Description: partial 16S ribosomal RNA
Rfam family: Bacterial small subunit ribosomal RNA
Source: RNAcentral